RNAcentral lists this ribosomal RNA (402 nucleotides) under bacterium. RNAcentral's name for it is "partial 16S ribosomal RNA". It matches the Rfam family "Bacterial small subunit ribosomal RNA", at positions 355 to 776 of the family's 1533-position model. The record is from RNAcentral.
UGGGGAAUUUUGCACAAUGGGGGAAACCCUGAUGCAGCGACGCCGCGUGAUUUAGAAGGCCUUCGGGUUGUAAAAAUCUUUUCUAUGGGAAGAAAAUGACAGUACCAUAGGAAUAAGGACCGGCUAAUUACGUGCCAGCAGCCGCGGUAAUACGUAAGGUCCGAGCGUUGUCCGGAAUCAUUGGGCGUAAAGGGUACGUAGGCGGGUAAGCAAGUUAGAAGUGAAAUCCUAUAGCACAACUAUAGUAAGCUUUUAAAACUGCUCAUCUUGAGGUAUGGAAGGGAAAGUGGAAUUCCUAGUGUAGCGGUGAAAUGCGCAGAUAUUAGGAGGAAUACCGGUGGCGAAGGCGACUUUCUGGCCAUAACCUGACGCUGAGGUACGAAAGCGUGGGUAGCAAACAGG